GACGUAGGGCGCGAGCGUUGUCCGGAUUUAUUGGGCGUAAAGAGCUCGUAGGCGGUUUGUCGCGUCGUCUGUGAAAACCCACGGCUCAACUGUGGGCUUGCAGUCGAUACGGGCAGGCUAGAGUUCGGUAGGGGAGACUGGAACUCCUGGUGUAGCGGUGAAAUGCGCAGAUAUCAGGAGGAACACCGGUGGCGAAGGCGGGUCUCUGGGCCGAUACUGACGCUGAGGAGCGAAAGCGUGGGGAGUGAACAGG
Molecule: ribosomal RNA, 253 nt
Filed under: uncultured bacterium
Lineage: Bacteria
Description: partial 16S ribosomal RNA
Rfam family: Bacterial small subunit ribosomal RNA
Source: RNAcentral